UUAUAAUUACUAAUAAUAGCGAUAAAUAAAUAAAAACACGGUUUGCUAAUCGUUACAAGACAAAAUAGACAACGUGUUUACUUGGUAUUAGUUGGUCGUUUAUUUCGGGUUAACUGAUUUUUAUUCCACGGACAUACAGUUAUAUAUUGUGUAUUUAAAAUUAAAACGGAUAUAAAACGUUAAAACGUUUACAACGAAAUGAUGAUAUCUAUUCGCACAGUGACACUUGAGCACGAUACAAUACAAUGCGAUGCAAUGGCAUGGACAACACUUUUAUAAAUGUGGGCGGCGGCUCAGGAUACAACAGCCCGUUCGCGGGCGAAAUGCCGCACGAGUAAAGUUUGCUACGGUGGUGUGCCGUAGUCCGUACACGUACCGAAUUCGUGCGCGAUCGUGGUGGCCGACCUGCCGACCACGGGUAGGCCACAGAAUGAUCGGCAGGAGAAGUGACGGCGUCGAACACAAAGACUGUACCCGCCUGAUCCGCGGACCGGAUCUGCUUCCGUGGCACUGUCUAUAUAAGUAUUGCGAUCCACACGUCGCAAACGAAAACGCGCCAGGCGGCGGAUGAUGAUCAGUCGAUGUAGAUCCAGUCGAUGUAGAUCGAGUCGACUCGGCCUACGGGGCACGACGUCGCUCCGUGGCACAUUCCAAUGACCAGAGCACUGGCCGCUCUGUCAUGGACACGGAGUGCAGACUUGUUAUACUUACCUAUUGUCUGCAUGAUCGCCUGCAACAUUAGGCCGUCGCGGCCGUAUAGGUGUUGAUCAUGACUACCAUCAUGUUGCAGGGAACGAUGCCGAUAAUGGAAAUUCGGCCUCUAUAUGUGUAUGAAUCGCCGUAACCGACCGCAGUAGCGUACUUGUUGGUACCGUGGUGAUUAGUAUGCUAUUGCGCGUUGCGAUACACGUGUCGGUUGGCAGCGCCCUCUAUGUGUAGUAUACGGGGGAUCCGCGCUCUCGGAACGGUUGGUUUAGUCGCGUUGGUGUUGGCUGGGUGCGCGCUU
Cinara cedri is the source of this 1006-nucleotide non-coding RNA. The record is from the annotation of a GenBank genome assembly. NCBI's taxonomy places the organism in Eukaryota, Metazoa, Arthropoda, Insecta, Hemiptera, Aphididae.